Molecule: ribosomal RNA, 253 nt
Filed under: uncultured bacterium
Lineage: Bacteria
Description: partial 16S ribosomal RNA
Rfam family: Bacterial small subunit ribosomal RNA
Source: RNAcentral
UACAGAGGGUGCAAGCGUUAAUCGGAAUUACUGGGCGUAAAGCGUGCGUAGACGGUUAUUUAAGUCCGGUGUGAAAGUCACAGGCUCAACCUGUGAAUGCCGCUGGAAACUGUCUGGCUAGAGUCCGGAAGGGGCGAGUGGAAUUCCUGGUGUAGCGGUGAAAUGCGCAGAUAUCAGGAGGAACACCAAUGGCGAAGGCAGCUCGCUGGGACGGUACUGACGCUGAGGCGCGAAAGCGUGGGGAGCAAACAGG